RNAcentral lists this ribosomal RNA (1417 nucleotides) under uncultured organism. RNAcentral describes it as "16S ribosomal RNA". It matches the Rfam family "Bacterial small subunit ribosomal RNA". The record is from RNAcentral.
UUGAUCCUGGCUCAGGAUGAACGCUAGCGGCAGGCUUACACAUGCAUGUCGAGGGGUAACGAUCCCGCUUCGGUGGGAGGCGACGACCGGCAAAUGGGUGAGUAAUACAUAUGCAACUUGCCCGUAGCUGGAGGAUAGCUUCCGGAAACGGAAAUUAAUACUCCAUAAUAUCCUAAUAUCGCAUGUUAUAAGGAUUAAAGUUUCGACGGCUACGGAUGGGCAUAUGUCCCAUUAGCUUGUUGGUGAGGUAACGGCUCACCAAGGCUACGAUGGGUAGGGGGCCUGAGAGGGUGAUCCCCCACACUGGUACUGAGACACGGACCAGACUCCUACGGGAGGCAGCAGUGAGGAACAUUGGGCAAUAGGCGCAAGCCUGACCCAGCCAUGCCGCGUGCAGGAUGACGGCCCUAUGGGUUGUAAACUGCUUUUGUAUGGGAAAAAACUCCCGCACGUGUGCGGGACUGAUUGUACCAUACGAAUAAGCAUCGGCUAACUCCGCGCCAGCAGCCGCGGUAAUACGGAGGAUGCAAGCGUUAUCCGGAUUCAUUGGGUUUAAAGGGUGCGCAGGCGGAUUAGUAAGUCAGUGGUGAAAGCUCCCGGCUCAACCGGGAAAAUGCCAUUGAUACUGUUAAUCUUGAGUACAGUUGAGGUAGGCGGAAUGUAUCAUGUAGCGGUGAAAUGCAUAGAUAUGAUACAGAACACCGAUAGCGAAGGCAGCUUACCAAACUGUAACUGACGCUCAUGCACGAAAGCGUGGGGAGCAAACAGGAUUAGAUACCCUGGUAGUCCACGCUGUAAACUAUGAUCACUCGCUGUUGGGCGAUACACUGUCAGCGGCUUAGCGAAAGUGUUAAGUGAUCCACCUGGGGAGUACGAUCGCAAGGUUGAAACUCAAAGGAAUUGACGGGGGCCCGCACAAGCGGAGGAGCAUGUGGUUUAAUUCGAUGAUACGCGAGGAACCUUACCUGGGCUUAAAUGCAGAACGACCUCCCGAGAAAUCGGGACCUCCUUCGGGACGGACUGCAAGGUGCUGCAUGGUUGUCGUCAGCUCGUGCCGUGAGGUGUCGGGUUAAGUCCCAUAACGAGCGCAACCCUUAUCCUUAGUUGCCAACAGGUAAUGCUGGGAACUCUAAGGAAACUGCCUACGCAAGUAGUGAGGAAGGUGGGGAUGACGUCAAAUCAGCACGGCCCUUAUGUCCAGGGCUACACACGUGCUACAAUGGUCGGUACAGAGGGCAGCUACCUGGCAACAGGAUGCUAAUCUCGAAAGCCGGUCUCAGUUCGGAUUGGAGUCUGCAACUCGACUCCAUGAAGUUGGAUUCGCUAGUAAUCGCGCAUCACCCAUGGCGCGGUGAUACGUUCCCGGGCAUUGUACACACCGCCCGUCAAGCCAUGGAAGCUGGGAGUACAUGAAGUC